CUUUAUUGGGAUGGAAACAGCUAAAGGGAAAAAAUGCUGGUUCCAGAGGAGGCACUUAGUUCUGCUCGUGCUGGGUCUGCAUUUCAGUGCCCUGUGGAGAUACAUGGAAGACCCCAGCAAAACCAUCCCUGCCUUUCCUCCCUCUUCUCUGCACCCAGGAAGGCUGGAGAGAGAGAGUUUGUCCUGCACCCCUCCCUGACCUGCUGUUGUGCUCUACCAACACGGGAGACUGAGGCCCCAGGCACAGGGCAGGCAGAGACCAUGGAGCUGGAGACAGGUGGGAGAAGCAUGAUAGGGGUUAAAAAUAAUCACAUGAAAAUCAAAGUGGUCUCUUGCAGCCUUCAAGACAGAUCCGUGCCUUUCUCUGAAACUCUGAGGACCAAGGACCUUGAUGCAAUUAAGGGAUCUGGCACCUCCAUACUUCACCAAGGUUUUCAAGGUUUAAAACCAUCAUGCUCAGACGCUCACGCUGCUGCUCGGAAGCACCGCCCGUGAGGAGGAAAAGCACAACCAUGUCCCUUGUGACAGGGGAGCAGAAUCAUCGAGUCAGGUUGGAAAAGACCUCCGAGAUCAUCGGGUCUGACCUGUGCCCGAUGCCCACCUUGUCACUCUGAGCAGAGCACUGAGUGCCACGUCCAGCCGUGCCUGGAGCACCUCCAGGGACGGGGACUCCAAACCUCCCUGGGCAGCC
Vidua macroura (Pin-tailed whydah) is the source of this 691-nucleotide long non-coding RNA. RefSeq lists it as uncharacterized. The record is from RefSeq and is a predicted model, not a curated record. Lineage: Eukaryota; Metazoa; Chordata; Aves; Passeriformes; Viduidae. The transcript has 3 exons.